This is a long non-coding RNA of Gadus morhua (Atlantic cod), 465 nucleotides long. RefSeq lists it as uncharacterized. The record is from RefSeq and is a predicted model, not a curated record. NCBI's taxonomy places the organism in Eukaryota, Metazoa, Chordata, Actinopteri, Gadiformes, Gadidae. The transcript has 4 exons.
UCAGAUGAUGAAGGGGGUAAAAGAAGGAGAAUGUAAGCACUGUGCAGUAAUCUAUACUAUGAAAACCAUCAGCUACACAAAACAAUGCAUGCUUAUUGAGUGAUUUAUUUUCUAAUGCAGCCCUUCCUCAAAGCUGAAAGAAACUGUGCCUGCAGAUGAGGGGGAGAAGCAUACAAGGGCUAAGAAAAAAGAAAAAAAAGGAGUCCUCCACAAGCCCCUGCUUUCCCCACCUGCUUUUAGAUCAUCACAGCAGGACAUACAUAAAGUUGCUGCCCACACAUCAGCUGCUCUUGAACAGGCCUCUGCCCAGAUCUCUGGCAACAUUCAAAGUCAAUUCGAACGGGAUCAUGCACUCCUGCGUGCUGUGGAGGAGUUGAAGGCCUUGGUGAGGCAGAACAACCUCCUCCUCCAGGCCCUUACUAGGCAAAAAACGACAGCAGCAGCAGCAGCAGCAGACACUCUAUC